UAUAUUUUGGUUCUAUUGAGAAAUAGAUGAAAAGGGAAUUGGGUGAAAAUCCCGAGCUGUCCCCGCAACUGUAAAUUGCAAAAAAAGUUUCUACAAAAAAGCCACUGCUCACGCGGGAAGGCGUAGAAAUGCAAAAGCCAGGAGACCUGCCAGAUAUAAAU
RNAcentral lists this non-coding RNA (161 nucleotides) under human oral metagenome. The record is from RNAcentral.